GAAAAUGAAAAAUAAUUUUAAAAAGUCCUCUAUUUAAUGAUGGACUUGUAGCAGCCUAAAACACCAUUCUCCAAAGAAAUAUACACCUCACUUGGAAAUCCACUCCAUCUCCUUCACCAUCAACAUAAUUUGGCUAGAGCUUGGCAUCAACCUUUGAAGCAUUUUCCUUCGAUUUUCCUUCAUCAUUUCUUUCGGCUUCUUAAGGUAAGAUAUUCCGAUUUCUUGCUGCAAUUAAAUGGCAUCAAUAGUAUUAAAAUGGUUUUCAAAAUUACUUAAAAGAUUGGGGAAGAUUUCGAAGAAAUUAGUACUUUUGUGGAAAAAUGGAAAAUAUGUGUUUAUUGUUGAUUUCUUGUUCUUGCAUGCAUCAUGUGUGUUAGUGAGUAGAUAAAAGUCUUAUUGGCCAAAAGCAUAAAAAUUUUCGGAUUUCAAAAAGGUUUUGGAAGAAAAAUAAAUUUUUGGGGUUGCAUGUGUAAAUCUAUAGAUUUUUGGGUCAAAUCUGUAAUUUUCGAGAAGUCAGUCCUAAAUGUGUUUUCAAAACUGUUUUCCAGCAUUUAUAGAACAAAAUUUUCGGAUUUAAAGAAGUUUUGUGAGAAAAAGUGGUUUUUGAACUUUUAGUGGUAUUGCAUGUGAAGAUCUAGAGAUUUUGGGGUGAAAUAUGUAAUUUUCGAAAUUUCUGCAUACAGUUGCUUUUUAACUUAGUUUUCUGCAUUUGGUAAAGAACAAAAUUCAGAUUGUUAGGGUUUUUCAUGAAAAAGUGGAUUUUGAACUUUUAAUGUGGUUGCAUGUGCAAAUCUUGAAACUUUUGGGUCAAAACUGCAAUUUCCGAAAAAACCUCUCAUUUUUGAAGUUUGGAUCUGUUUUUCCAGUAAGUAUUAAAUGAGGAAGAAGUUUCCUUUACAAAGUUUUCAAAUUAAUUAAGGUCGCAUGAGAGUUUUGGAUUUUUAAAAGGAAAAAUGGAAUUUUCUAGUUUUUAAUUUCAAGAAAAUUCGAAACCUUGUGAAAAUUCAAAAUAAUUUCAAAAUCUGAAAUUUGGGUCAGUUAGGAGUUCUAGGAUUUAAUUAGGGAAUUUUUGGAAUUGGUUUGCUAUUAUUGCGUAAUUAGAUCAUUUUGCAUGUCAUGUAUUAUGUGUUGUGCUUUAAUUUCCAUGUUCGUGAAUUAAUAAUCAUGAAUGACGAAACUUGAGAUGUUGCACCUUGAAUUACUGCAUGGAUGUGAAUUAAUUGUUGUGGGAAUAUAUUUUGGAAUGGAUUAUUACCUAGAAGUGGUAAUUAAUCAUUAAAUGAAAGGUGAAAAAUGGGUGCUUGCUUUACAAGUGUGUGCCGUGUGUGGUUGUGUGUUUAUAUGUGUGAGUUUGGGGAUAUUUGCCCAAAUUAUAAAUAUGUGGUAAAUUGUGAUAUUUUUGUAAGUUUGUGGCACUUGAUUGAUAUUUGUGAUGUUAUGUGUGGGUCAUAAGCAUGAUUUCGAAAAGUUGCAUUAAAUGAUUUUUAAAUUGAAAGAUUAAUGGAAUAUCGGGUAAUAAACAACUCGGAUAUAGUGGGCCGGUAUCCAACUAGGAUGAUGUGUGUAGUGGUUUGAUCCCCACUUAGUGAAAACGGGCUCGUAACAGGUUAUUACUCAGGUACAGAAAUUAAUCUUUCACGGAUCCGAUAAAACGAAAAAUGUGUUUUUCAUGAUUUUCAUAAAAAGGACAUUUUAGUCAUUUUGCAUAAGUGCGUGAUUUUGUGUGAAUGAUGUGUUUUCGUGAGUUAUAUGAUUUGACCGAUUGCCUCGUGUUAUUGUACGGAACGUGGGUAAGAACGGGAAUACAAUAUUAUAUAUUAUAUAUAACGUAUUUUCAAAGUUCGAUAUUUACUCGGAUUUCUUACUGAGCUUUAUAGCUCAUAUAGAUGUCUUUUAAUUGCAGGUAAUAGUGUUAGAAAUCCUCAACCGGAAUGGGUCGAGUAGUGGAUCGAGGUCUUGCCCGGGUGUUUGGAAGUUGUACGAGGACCUAUGAACGAUGCUAAAGUGUUUUGGUUAUUCUCUUUUGGUGAUGUAAUAAUAAACCUAACUACUUUCCUUUUCGUACCUUUUAAACUCGCUACCGGUAUGAAUCGUACUUAACUCCUAUUAUAAAAUAGUCUGUUUCGUAAUUUUUGCUAUUUUCAUACCUCCAAUUGAAAUUUCUGAAUUAUUCACCAAAAUAACCUUUCCAAACUCUGAUUUCUUGUCGAACCGAAAACUGAUAAUGAUAAUGUAGCACUCGAACGAAAAACCUCCCCUCGAAACUUAUUUCCAAACGAAGCCUUUAUUUGGCUAAAGUAACCUAAGAGAGUUUUCGAAAAAUGCAAAGUUUUAAUAAUUUCAUUUUG
Molecule: long non-coding RNA, 2348 nt
Filed under: Erythranthe guttata (spotted monkey flower)
Lineage: Eukaryota; Viridiplantae; Streptophyta; Magnoliopsida; Lamiales; Phrymaceae
Description: long non-coding RNA (EGUT_LNC002199)
Source: RNAcentral